RNAcentral lists this ribosomal RNA (255 nucleotides) under uncultured bacterium. Its description in RNAcentral is "partial 16S ribosomal RNA". It matches the Rfam family "Bacterial small subunit ribosomal RNA", at positions 30 to 283 of the family's 1533-position model. The record is from RNAcentral.
AUUGAACGCUGGCGGCAUGCUUUACACAUGCAAGUCGAACGGCAGCACGGGUGCUUGCACCUGGUGGCGAGUGGCGGACGGGUGAGUAAUGCAUCGGAACGUGUCCUGAAGUGGGGGAUAACGCAUCGAAAGAUGUGCUAAUACCGCAUAUUCUCUGAGGAGGAAAGUAGGGGAUCGAAAGACCUUAUGCUUUUGGAGCGGCCGAUGUCUGAUUAGCUAGUUGGUGAGGUAAAGGCUCACCAAGGCGACGAUCCG